AGCUUCGGCUCCUGAGUAAAGUGGCGAACGGGUGAGUAACACGUAAGUAACCUACCCCGGACUCUGGGAUAACCUUCCGAAAGGAGGGCUAAGACCGGAUAGGUCCCUCUGGCACAAGUCAGGGGGGGAAAACGGGCCUCUGCAUGCAAGCUCGUGGUCCGGGAUGGGCUUGCGGCCCAUUAGCUAGUUGGUAGGGUAAUGGCCUACCAAGGCGACGAUGGGUAGCUGGUCUGAGAGGAUGAUCAGCCACACUGGCACUGAGACACGGGCCAGACUCCUACGGGAGGCAGCAGUGGGGAAUUUUGCGCAAUGGGCGAAAGCCUGACGCAGUAACGCCGCGUGGAGGACGAAGGCCUUCGGGUCGUAAACUCCUGUCGGGGGGGAAGAAGGGAGGCCAUGCGAACAGUGUGGUCUCUCGGACGGUACCCCCAAAGGAAGCCCCGGCUAAUUCCGUGCCAGCAGCCGCGGUAA
Molecule: ribosomal RNA, 471 nt
Filed under: uncultured bacterium
Lineage: Bacteria
Description: partial 16S rRNA
Rfam family: Bacterial small subunit ribosomal RNA
Source: RNAcentral